RNAcentral lists this ribosomal RNA (162 nucleotides) under Pentactina rupicola. Its description in RNAcentral is "5.8S ribosomal RNA". It matches the Rfam family "5.8S ribosomal RNA". From Rfam's summary of the family: 5.8S ribosomal RNA (5.8S rRNA) is a component of the large subunit of the eukaryotic ribosome. It is transcribed by RNA polymerase I as part of the 45S precursor that also contains 18S and 28S rRNA. The record is from RNAcentral. Lineage: Eukaryota; Viridiplantae; Streptophyta; Magnoliopsida; Rosales; Rosaceae.
ACGACUCUCGGCAACGGAUAUCUCGGCUCUCGCAUCGAUGAAGAACGUAGCGAAAUGCGAUACUUGGUGUGAAUUGCAGAAUCCCGUGAACCAUCGAGUCUUUGAACGCAAGUUGCGCCCGAAGCCGUCAGGCUGAGGGCACGCCUGCCUGGGCGUCACACG